UUUUGACACGUGGUAGGGGAGCGUUCCGUAAGCCUGCGAAGGUGUCUCGUAAGGGAUGCUGGAGGUAUCGGAAGUGCGAAUGCUGACUAUGAGUAGCGAUAAAGGGGUGUGAAAAGCACCCUCGCCGUAAGCCCAAGGUUUCCUGCGCAACGUUCAUCGGCGCAGGGUGAGUCGGCCCCUAAGGCGAGGCAGAAAUGCGUAGUCGAUGGGAAACAGGUCAAUAUUCCUGUACCGCUCUUAGAUGCGAUGGGGGACGGAGAAGGUUAGCUCGGCCAUCUGUUGGAAUAGGUGGUUUAAGCGUGUAGUCGUGCCGCGUAGGCAAAUCCGCGUGGCUUAGAUGAGGCGUGAUGACGAGGAUCCUCGGAUCCGAAGCGAGUGAUACCCAGCUUCCAGGAAAAGCCUCUAAGCUUCAGUCUAAGAGUGACCGUACCGCAAACCGACACAGGUGGGCUGGUAGAGAAUACCAAGGCGCUUGAGAGAACUCAGGAGAAGGAACUCGGCAAAUUGAUACCGUAACUUCGGGAG
Molecule: ribosomal RNA, 525 nt
Filed under: uncultured bacterium
Lineage: Bacteria
Description: bacterial LSU rRNA
Rfam family: Bacterial large subunit ribosomal RNA
Source: RNAcentral